AGCAGCAGCAGUCACCUACCUAGGCUGCAGCUAUCAGCAAGGCCAGCCCAGAGAAAGAAAGGCAACAAUAGACCAACAAAGAUGCCAUAGGCCACGCCUUCCUGCUUUAUCCUCCUCCAGUAUCCCUUCAUUCUCCUUCUCCUCUUUCCUCCCCUCCCAAACUCCUUCCUUCCCUCAUUCCUCCACUUUCAUCUCUUUGCUAUUUCUAGAAAGAAUCUUUUGUCUUGCUAGGCAGACCAUUUAUAACAAAGGAAAGACAGGAGGCGUAGAUGAUGAAGCAGAGUAGAGCACUUUUAACUGCAAGAGUGUUAGGAUAUGAACACUGCUGUUAGGAUAGAAAAGAGAAAAUCCUCAGAGUAUGUAUGCUGGAUUGUUUAGAGGGGAAAAGUCUUUCUAUGGAAAUCACCUAUAAAACAGUUCAGAAAUGGAAAUAAAGCUAUUUUGCUGCAAGUAGCUUUUUAUUUUUUCUUCCAGAAAUAACACACAAAUGUCCCCAGGCACUUUUCACUUAGCCCACUGUUCAUGGCUCCUUUCCCAGACUCAGGUGCUUCUCUUUUCCCAUUGCUCCCAGACAUCCAUUUGCCCAUUGACAUUCUACCUCCAUUGCCAAGGCCAGAGAACAUAAUGCGUGCUCACUCUUCCACUUAGCUCCUUUAGGCUCUGUCCUUGUCUGGCUGAGUCUGACAAAUGGACGGGCAGCCCUGCCACCCUGAUUGCUCGGUCAUCUGAACCACAGUUUCUGAUUUCUGCAUGAUGGAUCUGGCUGUGGCUGGUCCAGAGAAUUGGAAAGAAAAAAUAAUUAUAAAAUAAAUUUAAUAGUUCUCCUUGGCAUCUUUCUCUUUUUCUAUAUUCAGUUAGUGCAGCACUAUAGCUAUUUACUUCCCCUUUGCAAUUUUUGGGAAAGUGAGGAGGUCAAGAAAGAGUUGUAAGGCAAACUAUUGUAUAUUUCACUGCAUGGUCUGCCUUUCAUAGUUACAAUUAUGUCAAGACUAUACAUCACUAUGAAUAAUGUAUUAUGAACAAGUAUAAUAAUAUUUGUUAGACACAACCAUUUCUAGCAAUUAUUUUGUAAGUAGAAGAAGAUAAGCAGAUAUACAAGUAGUGCCUGUAUUGCUUAAAGCAAGAUUGUGGACUCUCCAUGGGAAGUGUCAAUGUUACUUGUUUUUAUAUCCUCCGAGCAAGAGAAAAUCCAGUGACUGAAAAAGAAUAAGAAGAAAAACACUGACCAAGGCAAUAAUUCCAAGAAGUCAAAAAUUAAGGCCUGAGAGGAAGAAGGCAGACUAAAGAAAGUAGGAAAGAUGCAAGGAGAAAGACAGCCAUCUGCAUACCAGGAAGAGGGCCCUCACCAGACACUGGAUCUGCUGCAGCCUUGAUCUUGGGCUUCCAACCUCUAGAACCAUGUGAAAUACAUUUCUGUUGUUUAAACCACCCCAUCUACAGUAUUUUGUUAGGGCAGCCCAAGCUGACUCAGAUAGCCUUAUUACACCUUAUUUUAGUAAUAAUAAUCAUUUCAUUAAUAAUAAUAUCCCUCAAAGUAGCUCCUCCCCUACCAGCACCACCCAUUCUUUCUCGUAUCUGAUGGCCAUGCUGAUUAUCUGGAAGCCAUUAUGUUGAAGGAGCAACAAUUUUAAACCUUGUAGAGUCCUGUGAUCUUGGCAUCUUCUCUCAAUCUGUAUGCUUAUUCAAUCUGCUCUGAUGAUAACAAUUCUCCUGAGGGGAAAAUUUAGGAAUUGUUUUAUUCAAAUUACUAAGUUUUUUUUUUUUUGCAUAACAGUUAAAGAAAAUAUUUGUGGGUGAUAGAAAAUGACUGAUUUUACCUUAAAACAAAGAUUAAAAUGAAGAUUAAAAAAAAGUUCCCUUGCCAUGAAGGGAACUGGAUGUUUUUUCCCAUAUAUAAUUAAAAACAGUGGGAUAAAGGGGUAAACACUAAGGAUGUAUAUUUAUCUCCUCUCCAUUUUAGAGAAAUGCACUGGGUGAUGUAGACAAACAAUUUGCCUAAUACUGUUACUGAACCUGGUGGGCUGGGCCUGGCCAAAGUCAGCUUUUCCUCUUCUCUCUGGAUCAAAUUAUGGUUAUGUAGCUGACAUUCAAUAAACCCCAAACACAGGCCACGUGCCAGGAGCACUCAGGUUACAAGACACGACCUCCAUCUUCAAGACGAGGAGGUAGAAUUGCUGGGUCCCUGAGACUGGGGCUUAGUCUGUCUCAUUCACUCUUUCAUCUCCAGUGCCUACCACAGCACCUUGUCCAGGGUACAAAUUUUAAUAACAAUUUAUCAAAUGAAUAAGUGGAUUCUGUCAUAGUAUAGCAGUGAUAUUCUGGAAGCUUAACCAAAUUAAUAAAUUAUGUGGCCUGACAUGCUGGUGUGUGCCUGUAGUCUCAGCUAUGUGGGAGGCUAGGUGGGAGGAUGGCUUGAAUUCAGAAAUUUGAGUGUUCAGCCUGGGCAAUAUAUUGAGAUGACCUCACUUCUGAAACAAAACAAAAUAAAAUAAAACACUAAAAACAAUAAAGCGAAACACAAAUAAAUUAUGAAGUGAGUAUAAUUAGUUUUACCAGUGUUGGAAUGUGAGGCGAGGAGGUUUCUAAGCGUGACUCCAUGGAGCAGGUGAAUUGGGGUUUUGAAGGUUGAGUACAAGUUUUUCAGAUGAAGUAGAAAGGGGCAUUUCAGUGGUUGUUGAGACCAGUGGCAGGUAGACCAGUUAAGGAGCUAGUCUAGUAACCAAAGCAAGUGAGGGUGGAGACCUGGCUGAGGGUAGUGUCAGUGGGAUUGGAGGAGGAAGAGAUUGGGAAUUUAUAUGAGAAAAUCAAAUAAAUGCCACUUUGAUGCUGACUGAUAUGCACAACUGGGUCACUGAGGAGUCAGGGAAGGCUCUGAGGCAUCCUGGGAGGGAGGGCACUGCAUCAGUUCUGUACUUUCUUCAACUCCACCUAAUUUUUCUCUCCCAACUAGGACAAAAGCUUGUUAAGAGGAACUUGACUCUUUGUUCCCUGCUGAGUCUUCGGUGCCCAGAACAGAUCUUGGCACAUGGACAUUCAACUUCUGCAGACUGGAUGAUUUAGAUGUUGCAAAUGCCAUCUUCAAGGAUGCCCAUACUUCCUGGAUUCUAACUACCUUGAUAAAGUCUCAUUGCUUUGUUUUUCUUCUGUAUUUCAGUAUGGAGACCUUCUAUGUCCAGACUUAAUCAAUUUUCUGUACUUGUCCAUUCUGCUUCUGCUGGUGUUUUGCAGUAAGCCAGAGGUAAGCAGGAUAUUGUGGACUGUAGGAAGAGGUUAAACAGGUAACUCUGAUUAGACUUUCACAAUGGGGUCCCUAUAUUGCAUUUACAUCGCCAUGGAAAGGGCCUUUUAUCAUAAUAAUUCUAAUAAUAACUGGUAUUUAUUUAGCACCUAGUACGUAGUAGGAACUCUGCUUAGCACUUUAUAUAAAUUAUUUCAUUUAAUCUUUCUAACAACCCUGUAUUAUUUAAUCUUUACAACAACUAACUAUGGUUUUUAUUUCCAAUUUGUAGAUGAGAAAAUUGAUGCUCAGAGGUGUUGUGCAACUUAGAAAUGUACUGCAGCUAGGAAGCCACCUGCUGGUUUCUCAUUACAGCUAAGGUGCCAGAGCUAAGGAAUAACACAUGCCUGUAACAUGAGCACUUUGGGAGGCCAAGGCGGAUGGAUCACCUGAGGUCAGGAGUUCGAGACUAGCCUGGCCAACAUGGUGAAAUCCCGUCUCUACUAAACAUACAAAAAUUAGCUGGGCAUGGUGGCAGAUGCCUGUAAUCUCAGCUAUUAGGAAGGCUGAGGCAGGAGAAUUGCUUGCACCUGGGAGGCGGAGGUUGCAGUGAGCCGAGAUGGUACCAUUGCACUCCAGCUGGGCGACAGAGCGAGACACCAUCUC
Long non-coding RNA from Pan troglodytes (chimpanzee), 3883 nucleotides. RefSeq lists it as uncharacterized. NCBI's taxonomy places the organism in Eukaryota, Metazoa, Chordata, Mammalia, Primates, Hominidae. The transcript is spliced from 4 exons. The record is from RefSeq and is a predicted model, not a curated record.